ACCUACGGGAGGCAGCAGUGGGGAAUAUUGCACAAUGGGGGAAACCCUGAUGCAGCGACGCCGCGUGAGCGAAGAAGUAUUUCGGUAUGUAAAGCUCUAUCAGCAGGGAAGAAAAAUGACGGUACCUGAGUAAGAAGCACCGGCUAAAUACGUGCCAGCAGCCGCGGUAAUACGUAUGGUGCAAGCGUUAUCCGGAUUUACUGGGUUUAAAGGGUGCGCAGGCGGAAUGUCAAGUCAGCGGUAAAAUUUCGGGGCUCAACCCCGUCGUGCCGUUGAAACUGGCGUUCUUGAGUGAGCGAGAAGUA
RNAcentral lists this ribosomal RNA (305 nucleotides) under uncultured bacterium. Its description in RNAcentral is "bacterial SSU rRNA". It matches the Rfam family "Bacterial small subunit ribosomal RNA", at positions 337 to 659 of the family's 1533-position model. The record is from RNAcentral.